This 714-nucleotide ribosomal RNA is filed under the name uncultured bacterium. RNAcentral describes it as "bacterial SSU rRNA". It matches the Rfam family "Bacterial small subunit ribosomal RNA", at positions 66 to 773 of the family's 1533-position model. The record is from RNAcentral.
ACGGCAGCACGGGUGCUUGCACCUGGUGGCGAGUGGCGAACGGGUGAGUAAUGUAUCGGAACGUAUCCGGAAGUGGGGGAUAGCCCGGCGAAAGCCGGAUUAAUACCGCAUAUGCCCUGAGGGGGAAAGUGGGGGACCGCAAGGCCUCAUGCUUUCGGAGUGGCCGAUAUCGGAUUAGCUAGUAGGUUAGGUAAAGGCUGACCUAGGCGACGAUCCGUAGCGGGUCUGAGAGGAUGAUCCGCCACACUGGGACUGAGACACGGCCCAGACUCCUACGGGAGGCAGCAGUGGGGAAUUUUGGACAAUGGGGGCAACCCUGAUCCAGCCAUGCCGCGUGAGUGAAGAAGGCCUUCGGGUUGUAAAGCUCUUUCGGACGGAAAGAAAUUGCCAUCUCUAACAUAGGUGGUGGAUGACGGUACCGUAAGAAGAAGCACCGGCUAACUACGUGCCAGCAGCCGCGGUAAUACGUAGGGUGCGAGCGUUAAUCGGAAUUACUGGGCGUAAAGCGUGCGCAGGCGGUUUUGUAAGACAGGCGUGAAAUCCCCGGGCUUAACCUGGGAACUGCGCUUGUGACUGCAAGGCUAGAGUGCGGCAGAGGGGGGUAGAAUUCCACGUGUAGCAGUGAAAUGCGUAGAGAUGUGGAGGAAUACCGAUGGCGAACGCAGCCCCCUGGGUCGACACUGACGCUCAUGCACGAAAGCGUGGGGAGCAAAC